AACAGAGUUAUAUGCUUAAGGGAG
RNAcentral lists this non-coding RNA (24 nucleotides) under Arabidopsis thaliana (thale cress). Lineage: Eukaryota; Viridiplantae; Streptophyta; Magnoliopsida; Brassicales; Brassicaceae. The record is from RNAcentral.